This 72-nucleotide transfer RNA is filed under the name Juglanconis juglandina. RNAcentral's name for it is "tRNA-Val". It matches the Rfam family "tRNA". Rfam says of the family: Transfer RNA (tRNA) molecules are approximately 80 nucleotides in length. The record is from RNAcentral. RNAcentral also lists the same sequence under 2 other names. Lineage: Eukaryota; Fungi; Ascomycota; Sordariomycetes; Diaporthales; Juglanconidaceae.
GAGAAAUUAGCUCAAUGGUAGAGCCACCGUCUUACACACGGGGGGUUGGGUGUUCGAGUCACCCAUUUCUUA